Poecile atricapillus (Black-capped chickadee) is the source of this 318-nucleotide long non-coding RNA. RefSeq lists it as uncharacterized. The record is from RefSeq and is a predicted model, not a curated record. Lineage: Eukaryota; Metazoa; Chordata; Aves; Passeriformes; Paridae. The transcript has 3 exons.
UGGGUUACUAGCUAGUGUGUACACAUGAACACAUGAAGCUGGGUGAGAGGGAAACAAGCCAGGAUAUCUCUGGAAACAAUAUUUUCACUACCAGAUUUAUGAUUCUGCUGAAAUAAAAAAAGAGGUUGUACCACAGAAAGAACUAUCUAUCAAAAAGUAGGACAAGAGAAAUAUUAAAAUCUGUAUCAGCAUUCACAGAUGGAUUUAUAGAAAAUCACAGACAUCAUGUGCUGAAUGUGCAUCAGGAUAACCAAAAGCAAGAUAUUUUCAGAAAGAUUGCUAUGCCUGAUACUGUUAUCACUUAAAAAGAAAAUAAAA